Molecule: ribosomal RNA, 432 nt
Filed under: uncultured bacterium
Lineage: Bacteria
Description: partial 16S ribosomal RNA
Rfam family: Bacterial small subunit ribosomal RNA
Source: RNAcentral
CCUACGGGAGGCAGCAGUGGGGAAUAUUGGACAAUGGGCGAAAGCCUGAUCCAGCAACGCCGCGUGAGGGAUGACUGCCUUCGGGUUGUAAACCUCUUUCAGCGGGGACGCGGUACCCGCAGAAGAAGCACCGGCCAACUACGUGCCAGCAGCCGCGGUAAUACGUAGGGUGCGAGCGUUGUCCGGAAUUAUUGGGCGUAAAGGGCUCGUAGGCGGUUUGUCACGUCGGGAGUGAAAACUCAGGGCUCAACCCUGAGCCUGCUUCCGAUACGGGCAGACUAGAGGUAUGCAGGGGAGAACGGAAUUCCUGGUGUAGCGGUGAAAUGCGCAGAUAUCAGGAGGAACACCGGUGGCGAAGGCGGUUCUCUGGGCAUUCCUGACGCUGAGGAGCGAAAGUGUGGGGAGCGAACAGGAUUAGAUACCCUUGUAGUC